GUUCCAGAAAGCUGAUCAGCUACCUGCAUACAGCUCCUCAGCGAUCCUCCAAGCCAGCUGCAGAAUGCAGAGCGCUGCUGUUAGCCCUCGGGGUGGAGUUCUCUGUCAUCAGCAGCAGACUGGAUCAAAGAACUAUUGGACAAAGAACGGCUUUUGCUCCAUGAGUCUACCAUAUACGUAUGGAAAAGACAGUGCUGGAACAGAAGACAAAUGGAAAGAGUGCACGUUUUGUCUUAGUGUUCCAUGUUCCUCUGGUUUCCCAAGGCUGGGUUAAAUCCCACUGAGAGCAAGGCAGAGGCUGUGUGUGUGUGUGAAGCUGUGUGGCAAUUGGCUCUGUAGUGAUAGCAAAUCAUGUAUUUAUCUAUUGAGAUACAGAUAUAUUAAAAACUGGAAGGAGGUUCUGCAACCUUUAAAUCCUUUCAUGUCACUUUAUGUUCCUGCUGUUAAGCUUUUGCUACGUUAAUGUCAUCCUGGGUUGGUAAUAUUUACAGCACCUAAAUCAGUGUUGAGGACACACAGAAUAUUGCAGGAUCAACUCUACUUAUUUCAAAUGCACUUUAAUAUUUUGACUGCCUGGCCAGAGUUUGGGAAAUAACUGUGGUAGAAUGAUAAUGAGAAGUUUAACAGUUUUAUGAUGGUUGAAGCGGACUUUAUGGAAGUUGAUAAAUUUCAUCUUGUAGGUUUCAAUUUCUCAUUCCCUACAGAGAAAUGGGGAGAAUACAUUGAUACUGCAUUUCAAAUUGGCUAGAUCAGAAGGAACAGCAGCUAAAAUCCAUUACAACCCAAUUACAUCUAUCAGCUGAAGCUGUGUGCAUUCAUUCGUGAACAUCAGCAUUUAAUCCAUAAAGAGGAACUAAUGAGAAAUUUGAAAAUGGAAUCCAUGCAUCAGUAACUUUGGAGAGAUUUUGCUGGGAUUAAUGAACUGCCAGAACAUUGUCAACACAGUGAAAACCUAUUCUCUCUAGGUUUGUUUACUGACCAAAGAAAGAUUUUUUUUUCCCUGUUCUCCCUACUCGACAGCAUGUUUUUGUCUUGUUGGUAGUUCCUUUUUUUUACACUCUUGGUGCAGGAAGUGACACUUUACUCACUUGAAGGAUCAAACGCUUGUUUCUUUUCCAUCCUGUGUGCGUCUGGCUGGAUGCUUGGCUAGCUUCUGAAGUCAGAUACGCUGCAGAUGAACCUCUACUGCAUCACUACCUCUGCAAAAAUGUCCUCUUGCAUAGGUCUACAAAAGACAAAGGCAUGUGGGCUAGACCAUAUUUUGUAACACAGAAAGAAGACCAAGGUAUCAGCCAUGAAAUUUUAUGUAGUACUAUAGGCAAGUUG
Molecule: long non-coding RNA, 1326 nt
Organism: Oxyura jamaicensis (ruddy duck)
Lineage: Eukaryota; Metazoa; Chordata; Aves; Anseriformes; Anatidae
Exons: 3
Source: RefSeq, a predicted model, not a curated record